UACAGAGGUCCCAAGCGUUGUUCGGAGUUACUGGGCGUAAAGGGCGUGUAGGCGGUCGACUAAGUCUGGCGUGAAAGCUCGCGGCUAAACCGCGAGAGGUCGUUGGAUACUGGUUGACUAGAGGACGGUAGAGGCGUGUGGAAUUCCGGGUGUAGGGGUGAGAUGCGUAGAGAUCCGGAGGAACACCAGUGGCGAAGGCGACACGCUGGGCCGUACCUGACGCUAAAACGCGACAGCAUGGGGAGCGAACGGG
This 253-nucleotide ribosomal RNA is filed under the name uncultured prokaryote. RNAcentral describes it as "partial 16S ribosomal RNA". It matches the Rfam family "Bacterial small subunit ribosomal RNA", at positions 524 to 776 of the family's 1533-position model. The record is from RNAcentral.